CUAGUAAUCGCGGAUCAGCAUGCCGCGGUGAAUACGUUCCCGGGCCUUGUACACACCGCCCGUCACACCAUGAGAGUCGGGAACACCCGAAGUCCGUAGCCUAACCGCAAGGGGGGCGCGGCCGAAGGUGGGUUCGAUAAUUGGGGUGAAGUCGUAACAAGGUAAC
RNAcentral lists this ribosomal RNA (166 nucleotides) under uncultured bacterium. Its description in RNAcentral is "partial 16S ribosomal RNA". It matches the Rfam family "Bacterial small subunit ribosomal RNA", at positions 1335 to 1500 of the family's 1533-position model. The record is from RNAcentral.